GAUGAACGCUGGCGGCGUGCCUAAUACAUGCAAGUCGAGCGAACAGACGAGGAGCUUGCUCCUCUGACGUUAGCGGCGGACGGGUGAGUAACACGUGGAUAACCUACCUAUAAGACUGGGAUAACUUCGGGAAACCGGAGCUAAUACCGGAUAAUAUAUUGAACCGCAUGGUUCAAUAGUGAAAGACGGUUUUGCUGUGACUUAUAGGUGGAUCCAGGCCGGAUUAGCUAGUUGGUAAGGUAACGGCUUACCAAGGCGACGAUGCGUAGCCGACCUGAGAGGAGGAGCAGUCGCACUGGAACUGAGACACGGGCCAGACUCCUACGGGAGGCAGCAGUGGGGAAUAUUGGACAAUGGGCGAAAGCCUGAUCCAGCCAUGCCGCGUGGGUGAAGAAGGUCUUCGGAUUGUAAAGCACUUUAAGUUGGGAGGAAGGGCAGUAAGUUAAUACCUUGCUGUUUUGACGUUACCAACAGAAUAAGCACCGGCUAACUUCGUG
This 497-nucleotide ribosomal RNA is filed under the name uncultured bacterium. RNAcentral's name for it is "partial 16S ribosomal RNA". It matches the Rfam family "Bacterial small subunit ribosomal RNA", at positions 28 to 507 of the family's 1533-position model. The record is from RNAcentral.